UGGGCUCCAGUAAAAUUCUCCAGAGAUGGGUUUGAAUAUGCUCCAGAACAUGGGGAACCAGAGCCCUGGUUUGUUUUUCCAUUUUAGUGCGUGUGUUUUAUAGUCAUUUGUUCUGGGAUCCUUUCUGAGGGCUUAUUCCAGUAAUUCAGCUGAUGAUAGGGAUCUGCUAAUGUUGGGAUUAUUCUAAGCAACUAAAAUUGUAAGGCCCACUGUUUUCAAUAGGAGCUAGACACCUAUAUAUUUUGGGCCUAAAUGCCCCCACUCAUAAUACACAUCCUCUCAUUGUUUUAUUUGAAAAAUAUAUGCUACACUAUAAAUUAAACAUUCCAGAGAGUCUCUCCCUCUAGGAGGGAUCAACAUAUGGCAAGAACCAAGAGUGUUGUUGUAGCCAGGUUGGUCCCAGGAUAUGAGAGAGACAAGGGGCAAACUGAGAGACAGUGAGUUGAAACAACUGGCUCCAAACUGCAUAGUAAAAGAAUUGAAAAUAGAGUCCAGAAAUUCUAGAGCCCAGUCCUCUGAACUAACCCCUGGACAACUUUCCAUCCCGCCUGUUAGUUAUGACAUUUAAAGAAAUUGACAUUUAAAGAGGCUGACUGGAAUGAAGCAUCAAAGAGCCAUGAACGGGACAGCUGCAGCAAGGACUCCUAAUGCUGCAAACUGGCCAGACUGUGAAUUUGUGGCAGGGUAUCAUUCACUUGCCCUACAAUUGCACUUUCUUCUAGAGAUUAUAGCUCUGGAAGUAAGCCUCCUCCAAUGCUAGC
Long non-coding RNA from Mauremys reevesii (Reeves's turtle), 761 nucleotides. RefSeq lists it as uncharacterized. The transcript has 4 exons. The record is from RefSeq and is a predicted model, not a curated record. NCBI's taxonomy places the organism in Eukaryota, Metazoa, Chordata, Testudines, Geoemydidae.